UAGAUGCUGAGAUUUCUAAGCGAAGGGCCA
This 30-nucleotide non-coding RNA is filed under the name Mus musculus (house mouse). Lineage: Eukaryota; Metazoa; Chordata; Mammalia; Rodentia; Muridae. The record is from RNAcentral.